GAGCGAAUGAUAGAGAAGACUGCUCUCUCUGAUUUAGCGGCGGACGGGUGAGUAACACGGUGGGUAAACCUACCCUAUAGACUGGGAUAACUCGGGAAACCGGAGCUAAUACCGGAUAAUACUUCGAAACACAUGUUUUGAAGUUGAAAGAUGGUUUCGGGCUAUCACUAUAGGAUGGACCCGCGGCGCAUUAGCUAGUUGGUGAGGUAACGGCUCACCAAGGCAACGAUGCGUAGCCGACCUGAGAGGGUGAUCGGCCACACUGGGACUGAGACACGGCCCAGACUCCUACGGGAGGCAGCAGUAGGGAAUCUUCCACAAUGGACGAAAGUCUGAUGGAGCAACGCCGCGUGAGUGGAGAAGGAUUUCGGUUCGUAAAACUCUGUUGCAAGGGAAGAACAAGUAGCGUAGUAACUGGCGCUACCUUGACGGUACCUUGUUAGAAAGCCACGGCUAACUACGUGCCAGCCGCCGC
This 475-nucleotide ribosomal RNA is filed under the name uncultured bacterium. RNAcentral's name for it is "bacterial SSU rRNA". It matches the Rfam family "Bacterial small subunit ribosomal RNA", at positions 64 to 518 of the family's 1533-position model. The record is from RNAcentral.